Molecule: ribosomal RNA, 253 nt
Filed under: uncultured bacterium
Lineage: Bacteria
Description: partial 16S ribosomal RNA
Rfam family: Bacterial small subunit ribosomal RNA
Source: RNAcentral
GACGUAGGGCGCGAGCGUUGUCCGGAUUUAUUGGGCGUAAGGAGCUCGUAGGCGGCUUGUCGCGUCGUCCGUGAAAACCUGCGGCUCAACUGCAGGCUGGCGGUCGAUACGGGCAGGCUGGAGUUCGGUAGGGGAGACUGGAAUUCCCGGUGUAGUGGUGGAAUGCGUAGAUAUCGGGAGGAACACCAGUGGCGAAGGCGGUUACCUGGAGCUUUGCUGACGCUGAUGCGCGAAAGCGUGGGGAGCGAUCCGG